AGAUCUUGGUGGUAGUAGCAAAUACUCAAAUGAGAACUUUGAGGACUGAAGUGGGGAAAGGUUCCGUGUGAACAGCAGUUGGACACGGGUUAGUCGAUCCUAAGCCAUAGGGAAACUCCGUUUUAAAGUGCGCUCUCGGGCGCCGCCUGGCGAAAGGGAAACCGGUUAAUAUUCCGGUACCUCGAUGUGGAUUAUCCGCGGCAACGCAACUGAAGGUGGAGACGUCGGCGGGGGCCCCGGGAAGAGUUCUCUUUUCUUCUUAACUGUCUAUCACCCUGAAAUCGGUUUGUCCGGAGCUAGGGUUUAAUGGCAGGUAGAGCUGCACACC
RNAcentral lists this ribosomal RNA (328 nucleotides) under Ditylum brightwellii. RNAcentral describes it as "partial Eukaryotic large subunit ribosomal RNA". It matches the Rfam family "Eukaryotic large subunit ribosomal RNA", at positions 1446 to 1772 of the family's 3401-position model. Lineage: Eukaryota; Bacillariophyta; Thalassiosirophyceae; Lithodesmiales; Lithodesmiaceae. The record is from RNAcentral.